CGAAAUGUACUUUUUUUCUACUCCCCAACAUCAUUAAUGGUUUCGUUGCUACUAUAUUCGUCCAUCUAUAUAAGGGCAUGUCUGCAUCAUUUAGCCUACUAUAUCUGAAAUACUUUUUUCUUAGAACUCUAGCUACUAGAGAUUUUGAGUUAUGUACCAAGCGCCAUAAUUAUUUGCUUGUUUGCCUAGUAAAGCUAGGUUGAAGUCAUGAAUCAUCCAAAAACACUAUUAAUUAAAAGAAAGGGAAGUUGGUAAGGUAUAUAUUAUGUGAAGAAAAAAAAAAAAAAACAACGGUCAGGCUCCAAGGUUUUUAAGAAACUUAACGAACCCUCUGUGCAACUAACUAACUCGUGCUCCACUUUGGUUCUAUUUCGAUCUCAUACUCAGCUCGACAGCUCGUCUCGGCGACUCCGUCUUCAAUUCUCUCUGCAUCACCGCAGUUUCUCUCUUCUUUCUUCCCCACCGUCACUUCCGGAGAGGUAACUAACUCGUCCUCCACUAAGUUCUGUACUCUCAUACUCACGCCGUCAUCUUCGUGAGCGACUCGUCU
RNAcentral lists this long non-coding RNA (550 nucleotides) under Brassica rapa (field mustard). Its description in RNAcentral is "long non-coding RNA (BRAP_LNC002100)". Lineage: Eukaryota; Viridiplantae; Streptophyta; Magnoliopsida; Brassicales; Brassicaceae. The record is from RNAcentral.